This 246-nucleotide ribosomal RNA is filed under the name Amanita flavoconia. Its description in RNAcentral is "partial large subunit ribosomal RNA". It matches the Rfam family "Bacterial large subunit ribosomal RNA", at positions 1798 to 2048 of the family's 2925-position model. Lineage: Eukaryota; Fungi; Basidiomycota; Agaricomycetes; Agaricales; Amanitaceae. The record is from RNAcentral.
GACUGUUUACUAAAAACACAACACAGUGCAAUCAUAAAUGUGAUMGUAUACUGUGUGAAAUUUGCCCAAUGCCAUUAAUAUAAAAGCGGUCAUAUUAAACUGUGACUAAUUGAAAAUCUGGUUAAUAGCGGUCUUAACCAUGAGGAUCCUAAGGUAGCAAAAUCGAUUGGCCAUUAAAUGUGGUCCGGUAUCAAUAAUGUAACGAUGGCCUCACUGUCUCUACAACUUGCUCAGUGAAAUUGAAUU